CCCUUAGAUGUUCUGGGCCGCACGCGCGCUACACUGAUGCAUUCAACGAGCCUAGCCUUGACCGAGAGGUCCGGGUAAUCUUUGAAACUGCAUCGUGAUGGGGCUAGAUUAUUGCAAUUAUUAAUCUUCAACGAGGAAUGCCUAGUAAGCGUGAUUCAUCAAAUCGCGUUGAUUACGUCCCUGCCCUUUGUGCACACCGCCCGUCGCUCCUACCGAUUGAGUGUGUUGGUGAGGAGUUUGGAUUGGCCUCGGAAGGUGGUUCGCCACCGUCCGUAGCUGAGAAGUUCUCCAAACCGCCCCACUUAGAGGAAGGAGAAGUCGUAACA
Molecule: ribosomal RNA, 326 nt
Filed under: uncultured eukaryote
Lineage: Eukaryota
Description: partial 18S ribosomal RNA
Rfam family: Eukaryotic small subunit ribosomal RNA
Source: RNAcentral